ACGUAGACAGCAAGCGUUGUUCGGAGUUACUGGGCGUAAAGAGUGCGUAGGCGGUCCUCUAAGUUCGGUGUGACAUCUCCCUUCUCCCCUGGGAGGGUGCGCCGGAAACUGGGGGGCUUGAGUAUGGGAGAGGAAAGGGGAAUUCCUGGUGUAGCGGGGAAAUGCGAUAAUAGCAGGCGGAACACCUGGGGAGCAGGCGGCGCACUGGACAAUAACUGACGCUGAGUCACGAAAGCGAGUGGAGCGCACAG
RNAcentral lists this ribosomal RNA (251 nucleotides) under uncultured prokaryote. RNAcentral's name for it is "partial 16S rRNA". It matches the Rfam family "Bacterial small subunit ribosomal RNA", at positions 525 to 775 of the family's 1533-position model. The record is from RNAcentral.